Molecule: ribosomal RNA, 460 nt
Filed under: uncultured bacterium
Lineage: Bacteria
Description: partial 16S ribosomal RNA
Rfam family: Bacterial small subunit ribosomal RNA
Source: RNAcentral
CCUACGGGUGGCAGCAGUGAGGAAUAUUGGUCAAUGGCCGCAAGGCUGAACCAGCCAAGUAGCGUGAAGGAAGAAGGCCCUAUGGGUUGUAAACUUCUUUUAUAGGGGAAUAAAGGUAUCCACGUGUGGCUAUUUGCAUGUACCUUAUGAAUAAGCAUCGGCUAACUCCGUGCCAGCAGCCGCGGUAAUACGGAGGAUCCGAGCGUUAUCCGGAUUUAUUGGGUUUAAAGGGUGCGUAGGUUGUUUUUUAAGUCAGUGGUGAAAGUUUGUGGCUCAACCAUAAAAUUGCAGUUGAUACUGGAAGACUUGAGUGUGUUUGAGGUAGGCGGAAUGCGUGGUGUAGCGGUGAAAUGCAUAGAUAUCACGCAGAACUCCGAUUGCGAAGGCAGCUUACUAAGCUAUAACUGACACUGAAGCACGAAAGCGUGGGGAUCAAACAGGAUUAGAUACCCUAGUAGUC